AGGUGCGAGACUGAGCCCGGCUU
This 23-nucleotide non-coding RNA is filed under the name Arabidopsis thaliana (thale cress). The record is from RNAcentral. Lineage: Eukaryota; Viridiplantae; Streptophyta; Magnoliopsida; Brassicales; Brassicaceae.